Molecule: ribosomal RNA, 392 nt
Filed under: uncultured bacterium
Lineage: Bacteria
Description: bacterial SSU rRNA
Rfam family: Bacterial small subunit ribosomal RNA
Source: RNAcentral
UGCCUCAUACAGGGGGAUAGCAGUCGGAAACGACUGAUAACACCGCAUAAGCGCACGGUAUCGCAGUGAUACAGUGUGAAAAAUAUUUAUAGGUAUGAGAUGGACCCGCGUCUGAUUAGCUAGUUGGUGAGGUAACGGCCCACCAAGGCGACGAUCAGUAGCCGGCCUGAGAGGGCGGACGGCCACAUUGGGACUGAGACACGGCCCAAACUCCUACGGGAGGCAGCAGUGGGGGAUAUUGCACAAUGGGCGAAAGCCUGAUGCAGCGACGCCGCGUUGAGUGAAGAAGUAUUUCGGUAUGUAAAGCUCUAUCAGCAGGGAAGAAAGACCUCGUAAGAGGGGAUGACGGUACCUGAGUAAGAAGCCCCGGCUAACUACGUGCCAGCCGCUGC